UAAGCAUAUCAAUAAGCGGAGGAAAAGAAACCAACAGGGAUUGCCCCAGUAACGGCGAGUGAAGCGGCAACAGCUCAAAUUUGAAAUCUGGCCCCUCGGGCCCGAGUUGUAAUUUGUAGAGGAUGCUUUUGGCAAGGUGCCGCCCGAGUUCCCUGGAACGGGACGCCGCAGAGGGUGAGAGCCCCGUCUGGCUGGCCGCCGAGCCUCUGUAAAGCUCCUUCGACGAGUCGAGUAGUUUGGGAAUGCUGCUCAAAAUGGGAGGUAUAUGUCUUCUAAAGCUAAAUAUUGGCCAGAGACCGAUAGCGCACAAGUAGAGUGAUCGAAAGAUGAAAAGCACUUUGAAAAGAGGGUUAAACAGUACGUGAAAUUGUUGAAAGGGAAGCGCUCAUGACCAGACUUGGGCUUGGCGGAUCAUCCGGCGUUCUCGCCGGUGCACUUCGCCUCGCCCAGGCCAGCAUCAGUUCGCGCCGGGGGACAAAAGCUUCGGGAAUGUGGCUCCUCCGGGAGUGUUAUAGCCCGUUGCAUAAUACCCUGGUGCGGACUGAGGUUCGCGCAUCUGCAAGGAUGCUGGCGUAAUGGUCAUCAGCGACCCGUCCUGAAACACGGACCAAGGAGUCGUCUUCGUAUGCGAGUGUUCGGGUGUCAAACCCCUACGCGUAAUGAAAGUGAACGCAGGUGAGAGCUUCGGCGCAUCAUCGACCGAUCCUGAUGUUCUCGGAUGGAUUUGAGUAAGAGCAUACGGGGCCGGACCCGAAAGAAGGUGAACUAUGCCUGUAUAGGGUGAAGCCAGAGGAAACUCUGGUGGAGGCUCGCAGCGGUUCUGACGUGCAAAUCGAUCGUCAAAUAUGGGCAUGGGGGCGAAAGACUAAUCGAACCUUCUAGUAGCUGGUUUCCGCCGA
Molecule: ribosomal RNA, 899 nt
Filed under: Cladobotryum protrusum
Lineage: Eukaryota; Fungi; Ascomycota; Sordariomycetes; Hypocreales; Hypocreaceae
Description: LSU rRNA
Rfam family: Eukaryotic large subunit ribosomal RNA
Source: RNAcentral